GUGGGGAGUGGGGUGUGGGAAGGAUAGUAGUGGUGGGAGUCCAGCCUACAGGGUCAUACCAAGCAGAGAACAGAUCACAAAGGGCCUUCAAGCUACUGUCAAUAAGUGUGAACUUGAUUUACCUUGAGGUCACAAAAAGGACACUGAAGUACUGUAAAGAGGACUUAUGGUGACAUGAUCUCACUUUUUAUUUUUUUUAAGGCAAUCACUGUCUUAGCCCUGGGCACCAAGAAGAAAGACUUGGGAUGGGGAGCCCAUGACAAUUUGGCUGGCUUAGUAACCUACAGAAGCAGAGAUGGCGACACAAACAAGAAAGGGGCCAAAGGGAGGCAGACAAGAAGGCAGAUUCCAGCAAGACUGAAAAAAUUGAGCUGACAUCAGACAGGAUGUGAGGGGAAGGGGAGAAUCCAGGAAGGGACAGAGAUUUUCCGCUUGGGCACCUCUGGGUGUGUGCUGCCUGUCACUGAGACUAUGAGACCCCAAAGCUGACAACCAGACUUGGAGGUAAACAUCUUAGCAGUCACAGAAUUCCCUUAGUCUUUAUAUUUUUAUUUUUUCCCCUUCAAACACUUCUCACUUGUUAAUGAAAUUCUAGGAAAGGCAGGCUGGGGAUGUGGUUUAGUUGUAGAGCGCUUGCCCGGCACUGAGCCAGGUCCUGGGUUUGGACCCCAGCACCCCAAAGAAGGAGAAAAGGAAAGAAAGAAAAUUCUACUACUUUGCUCCAGGUCUACAGCCCCUGCCUGUCCCUCCAGGUUACCUCGGGCUCUGGGAAGCUGAACCAUCAAGGAAGCACAGGCGCUGACACUGUCCCCUUUCACGAAGGACACCUCAAGCUCCCGACCCUCUGCUGACCUGAGAAGGCAGGGUCCUGCUGGGAUGCCUCAGUGUCACGGUCCACCAGGAGGCUUGCCCCCUGGAAGGACAGACAUCAGCCCCGCCCGGGCCCAGCAUGGACCAUGUUCCCUGUCGCGCACUGGAGUAACGCCCUCCCAAACGCCCAGGACCCGGCCUGCCCCUGCCAACGGCGGGGCAGGAGGGCCACCAGGCUUGCAAGGGGUGGUACAGCCCCGUUCCUCCCCACCUCCCCGCCCCGCACCUCCUGUGGCCGCUGCCUAAGUCGGCUUGGGUGGCACUCCUAAGCCCAGCCACAAGGCGCUGCAGAACAUUUCCCAGCAGAGUCUUGCAGGCUGCAAGGCCUCACCCAGAGAGCGAGAACUUGUGUGCAGUAGGAGUCUUGGACUUCAGAUCAGUGUUGCCUCUUACCCCGUGCUCCUCAAUGUAAUGGACAUUUAUUUACUCAGUGCUCUCUGAGCCUGGCGCUGUGCUAGGAUCUGGAGUAGCAGGUUCCUCGCGUUGCUUCACCAGGGACAGAGAGAGGGGUGAAUAAAUAGUGCGGCUAUAUAGAGGGCUGGGGUCAUGGCUCAGCGGUAAAGCAUUUGUCUAGCAUGUACGAAGCCCUGGGUUCGAUCCUCACACCACAUAAAUUUAAAAAAAUAAAUAAAUAAAGGUAUGGCAUCCAACUACAACUAAAAAAAUAAAUAAUAGUGCAGCUGCAACUACUGCUGACUGAAAAUAAUACCCCCGGGUUGGGAAGGGCCUCAUGUUGAGGUGAUAUUUAGAGGUGACCUGAAGGGUGAGUUUGAGAGAGCUUGAGACAGCAGAGGGAACAGCGGGUCCUGAGAUAGGAAAGAGGCUGCUGUAUGUGAGUCACCGAAAGGCAGCCAGUGAGACCGAAGUAUUGCAAUUUAAGUCAUAGUGAUUUAACUCAUUCUAUUCUGAGAAGUCAGAGAGGUGUAUGCAUAGGUCAUGUAGUCUGAAUACAGAUUUCAAGGAGACAGGACGAUAAAGAACACUGCAUUAGAUCGGACUAACUAGUUUCAGGUUUGGGAAAGACUUCCUAUAGCACCAACAACCAACAGCGCCUUGAAAGCAGGGCAAGUUCUCUUUGGGGAGAGGGCGUGUCCCAUUUCUUGAGCACCCCGCCCCAUGCCAGGCACUGUGCUGCUGUUUACCUACUCUAAUUUCUCACCACAGAACUGGGAGGCAUUUAGUACGUGAGAAAAUGGAGGCUAAAAAGGAUCAAGUGUCUUUUCCAAGCUGGCAAACAGGAGAGCCAAGACCUGACUAUGCUUAGGGUGAUCUGGGCUGAGUUGUGUCAGCCUGGUUGUGUUAAAGUUGGGGUUCUGAGGAAGUAGCUGUCCUCGGGGAUAAGGUUCCAUGGUGUCUCGGGGUACAGGUAGUGAUAGGGAAGGAAGACUGACCUUGGUGGGGCCAUGUGAAGGGAAAGGCAGCACACUGCAGACUGUGGAGCCCCCAAGCAAAAGCAGCCCCAAGAGCAGAGAGGGCUGUUGCAUCACAGGGCCCUCCCCAGCUGGCUCUCUGAAGCACUCCACCGGCUGAGAAGGAAGCAGGCUCCAUGUCCCUACAGGGAAGGUAUGAGUUUUGCUAGCAUUUUCUCUUAGGAGAAAGCACUCGUGCUUGCUUUUCCAACUGGAAAUCCCAGGAUUCCGAAUGCUUGAGCAUAUGCUUAGUGAACUUGGAGGGGUCGGAACAUUGCAGAACACGAUGUGAGUGCCAAUUGCUGCUUGAACCACUGGUGCCCAGCUCCAGGCCUCAGGGCUGAUGUCCCCUGGAGCACUCUGCGUGUACUUUGACACGGCAUCCUCACUCGGUGCUUCUGGCAUCACAUCAGAGAUGCUUUCCAUGUGCACACUGGGGCAAGCGGGCAUGCCAGAACUUGGGCAAGUUUGGCUGGGCCCUUUGAACUGGUGUUUUGCUCACAGUACUCAUCAGUGGAAGUUUGUUUUUUAAGUCAAAAUUGCCUUAACAUCUAGGAACAGCUGAAGGAUCCCAUGACUGUCUCCCUUAGCAAGUGGCAAAAUCUCCUAAGUGUUAAGGAUGGAAAGGGCUUGAGGGCAAUGACUUGAACUUCUGUUUCUUUCAUUGCCUUUAUUUCCUGUUACCAGGAAGUCUUCUCCAUCCUACAGCCUGACUCACUGAGUUCAUUCUUACUCCUUGGUAGCUGGGGCUUUGCUGUUUCAGUGAUGUCCCUUUAAGCAGAAGAUACCCCUCCCAUGGCUGAGUCUUAAGCUUUUUCUACUGUUGACAAGCUGUUCUGUUGUUCUGGCAGUGGAAGUUUACCAUCUCACAUUCUAGGGUGUGCUCUUCACUUCUGAACCAUCCACUUCAUGAAUACUUCUGCAAGGAUAUUUCCACAAAAACCCGCAUCUGUUCUCAUAGCCUAGCUGAAGUCUACAUGCCAUGCACAGUAGCAUGGCCCCCCAAAAGAGGGAUCCUUUGGCAGCAGAACUGAAUUUUAUCAAAAUAACAUUAAAAGUAAAAUGAAAUUUACCUAUGCUACCCAGUGUAUUUUUUUUAUAAAUCAUGCUAAAUAUGAUAUUUAAGGCUUUGAAAGCAUAGCGUACAAAGUAAAACAUCUUAUUUAAAAACAAUUCAUAACAGUGAGGAAAAAAUGCUCAGGCCAAAGGGAGGAAAAAAGUCUUCACACCAAGGAUUUACUUGACACCGGAUUCCACCUAUGAAGGUGUGGCAGUGAGGAACAGAUUGGGUCUGAGUGCCACUGCUGGUCCUGGCAAGCUGCACCCCACUCCCAGGCAUCUAAGGCCAAAGUACUCCUGCUCCUACAUGUCAGGCUUCUAGUAGGAGGGGGUGGGGCUCCACAUAGUCUGGAAUGUUCAUCACAACUCACUAAAUGCAAGCACAUGUUCUGUGAAAGGAGCUACAACCUGAGGUCUGUCACUGCACUUCCUUCAUCAGACACUGUGAAAACCAUUCAUGGAAAUGGAAUGCAUUGUUCCUUCUGCACCUGCCUUUGUAGGUGUGCAAAGAGCCUGUGCCAGG
Molecule: long non-coding RNA, 3861 nt
Filed under: Marmota monax (woodchuck)
Lineage: Eukaryota; Metazoa; Chordata; Mammalia; Rodentia; Sciuridae
Source: RNAcentral